GGGAGGCGGGGAGGGGGCUGCUGUGUUUAUCCAAGUGCUCCAGCGGCUGCGGGAGUUUUCUGCUUGUGUUUAUAUUUUCAGAAGGGGGCUGAAGAGCUAUGCCCAGACUGGAGCACGAGUCUGCUUGCUGGUGUGUUUCUCAGUCCAGUUUGAUUUUUUAAAGGUACCCUCCAUGGGACAGAACUCUGCUUACAAACUUUAAAACUGGAUGAUGCAAAAAUUACCUGCACAGCAGAGGAGGACAACGAACCAUAGUUUCAGAGGAUGCAUGGAAACACCUGAAUGUCCAGGCAGAAGUCUCCUGCAGAGGUGGAGCCCUCAUGAAAAACCUCUACUAGGGCAAUGCAUAGACGAAAUGCUCAUACAUGGAAGAGAGUUGCCUUGUCUGAGAUGAGACAUUGGACUGUGGACUUUUGAGUUAAUGUUGGAAUGAGUUAAGACUUUGGGGGAAUGUUGGGAAGGCAUGUUUGAUUUUGCAAUGUGAGAAGGACAUGAAAUUUUGGAGGGGCCAGUGAUGGAAUAAUAUGGUUUGGCUCUGGGCCCCCACUGAAAUCUCAUCUUGAAUGGUAAUCCCCAUGUAUUGAGGAAGGAUCUGGUGGGAGGUGAUUGGAUGGUCAGGGCAGUUUUCCCAUACUGUUCUCAUAAUAGUGAGGGAGAGCUCAUGAGAUCUGAUGGUUUAAAAGUGGCAGUCUCCCCUGUGCUUGCUCUCUCUGCUGUCACCUAGUGAAGAAGGUACUGCUUCUCUUUCACCUUCUGCCAUGAUUGUAAGCUUCUUGAGACCUCCAGCCAUGUAGAACUGUGAAUCAAUUAAAUCUCUUUUAUUUAUAAAUUACCCAGUCUCAGGUAGUUCUUUCUAGUAGUGUGAACUGCUAGAAAUACAAUGGGGUUAGUGUCCCUAUAAGAAGAGCAAUAGACCCCAGAAUUUUCUCUCUCUCUUCCCUCACAGUAUGAGGACACAUAUUGCAGGCAGCCAGGAACUGGUCCUCACCAGAAUCAAAUCUGUGAGCACCUUGAUCUUGGACAUCCCAGUUUCCAGAACUGUGAGAAAGAAGUGUCUGUUAUGUAAUCCUCCUAGCAUCUGGUAUUCUCUUCUAGCAGCCAGAGCUUACAAAGACAACUAUGUUCUUGGCACUGAC
RNAcentral lists this long non-coding RNA (1136 nucleotides) under Homo sapiens (human). RNAcentral describes it as "HSALNT0026416". Lineage: Eukaryota; Metazoa; Chordata; Mammalia; Primates; Hominidae. The record is from RNAcentral.